UACACCCGAUUAAAAAAAGGGCACUGCAAAACGCUGUCUUAAACCAGCGUUGCUGGUCCAGACAGAUGGAGUAAUUUUUCUUGACACCUCUCUACCGACUACCGACCUGUAGAAUCUCUCUUUGCUGUCUCUCUCUAGGAAGACAAGUAUCGUUUCCAUGCUUAUCACUUUUUUAUUUAUUGAUUGAUUCAUCGGAGUUUAAGCUUAUCACCUCAACUUCACACACUACCAUCUAGCUAAGCUUUCCACCGACUGUUUUUCGUUCCUCUCCAAGUCGCCACAAAAUGGCCGAACCGCCGACGAAGUGUAGCCAUCGUCACAG
This 322-nucleotide long non-coding RNA is filed under the name Actinidia chinensis (golden kiwifruit). RNAcentral's name for it is "long non-coding RNA (ACHI_LNC006791)". Lineage: Eukaryota; Viridiplantae; Streptophyta; Magnoliopsida; Ericales; Actinidiaceae. The record is from RNAcentral.